Molecule: ribosomal RNA, 253 nt
Filed under: uncultured bacterium
Lineage: Bacteria
Description: partial 16S ribosomal RNA
Rfam family: Bacterial small subunit ribosomal RNA
Source: RNAcentral
UACGUAGGGUGCAAGCGUUGUCCGGAAUUAUUGGGCGUAAAGAGCUCGUAGGCGGUCUGUCGCGUCUGCUGUGAAAACUCGGGGCUUAACCCCGGGCCUGCAGUGGGUACGGGCAGACUAGAGUGCGGUAGGGGAGACUGGAAUUCCUGGUGUAGCGGUGAAAUGCGCAGAUAUCAGGAGGAACACCGGUGGCGAAGGCGGGUCUCUGGGCCGAUACUGACGCUGAGACGCGAAAGCGUGGGGAGCGAACAGG